AAUUGCAGAAGCUUCCGGAAAUAACAAGCAUGUCUGCCGCUAGAGACAUAUCUGAGGCAGAAUGGUCUAACAAGCUUAGUUUCUGAGCAACAAGGGAGCUCAGGGUCCCAAGGGUUGCCCCAAGACACCAGAGAGAGUGACCUACGCGUCCAAGAGGAUCUGUGCCUUGCUUCUACUGCUCAAGAGCAAGAGAAGGAUGUCCCCAAGGAAAACUCUGAACCAGAUCAAACUGGAAAAGACCAAUGAUGAAACAUGAAAUCCUUUUGGUUGCUAAUGCUCCUUUCUAUUCUUUUUCUUGAUGGACCAACAAUACAGAAGAUUUCCACUACCUUGUUGACAUCUUGUAGUUAUUAGGAGUAUGUGAAGCAAGUGGAUGUUAAAAAUAUUUGUGUUUAUAGGUUGUACUAUGUGUGCCCUUGAU
This 421-nucleotide unclassified non-coding RNA is filed under the name Hevea brasiliensis (rubber tree). The record is from RNAcentral. Lineage: Eukaryota; Viridiplantae; Streptophyta; Magnoliopsida; Malpighiales; Euphorbiaceae.